Molecule: long non-coding RNA, 359 nt
Filed under: Mytilus galloprovincialis (Mediterranean mussel)
Lineage: Eukaryota; Metazoa; Mollusca; Bivalvia; Mytilida; Mytilidae
Source: RNAcentral
AAAAAACCAGAGACAUAUAAAUACAGAGAUUGGCAACUUAUCGUUACGGCUAUAACCAGCGGUCAACUUCACGCGUGUGCACGAGAUUUCUCGAGAGUAGAAAAUUCGCCAAACAAUCCGCCAUAUUGAUUAUUUACAAACAGCUUUAACGUACAGAAAACAACCAAAUUAUAAUAAAAUACAAUCUAUAUCAACACAAUUCAGUUAAGAAUAACUUAAAUUUAUGUAGAGGCGUAGUUUAUUUGUAAUUUUAAGCUUUCUUUAGUAAUAGCUAAUAAAAUUAUAGGCGAAUUUAUAUCCCGAUUCAAGAAGCCCAAAUUUUAGAUUCAGUACUCGAUAAGGCUCCCGACUUUUGGAAC